GAUGAACGCUAGCGGCAGGCCUAAUACAUGCCAGUCGGACGGGAUUCAGGAGCUUGCUUCUGAUGAGAGUGGCGCACGGGUGCGUAACACGUAUGUAACCUACCUUUAUCAGGGGGAUAGCCUCUCGAAAGAGAGAUUAAGCCCGCAUAAAAUCACAGCACAGCAUUGUGUAAUGAUCAAAUAUUUAUAGGAUAAAGAUGGGCAUGCGGAACAUUAGCUAGAUGGCGGGGUAACGGCCCACCAUGGCGACGAUGUUUAGGGGAUCUGAGAGGAUGGCCCCCCGAACUGGUACUGAGACACGGACCAGACUCCUACGGGAGGCAGCAGUAAGGAAUAUUGGUCAAUGGGCGGAAGCCUGAACCAGCCAUGCCGCGUGCAGGAAGACGGCCCUACGGGUUGUAAACUGCUUUUAUACGGGAAUAAACCCAGAUACGUGUAUCUGGCUGAAUGUACUGUAAGAAUAAGGAUCGGCUAACUCCGUG
Molecule: ribosomal RNA, 482 nt
Filed under: uncultured bacterium
Lineage: Bacteria
Description: partial 16S ribosomal RNA
Rfam family: Bacterial small subunit ribosomal RNA
Source: RNAcentral